CGCGUAGGCGGUUCGAUAAGUCGGGUGUGAAAGCCCUGGGCUUAACCUGGGAAUUGCAUUCGAGACUGUCGGGCUAGAGUAUGGUAGAGGAAAGCGGAAUUCCACAUGUAGCGGUGAAAUGCGUAGAUAUGUGGAGGAACAUCAGUGGCGAAGGCGGCUUUCUGGACCAAUACUGACGCUGAGGCGCGAAAGCGUGGGGAGCAAACAGGAUUAGAUACCCUGGUAGUCCACGCCGUAAACGAUGAGAACUAGGCGUUGGGAGGCGUGACCUCUUAGUGUCGAAGCUAACGCGAUAAGUUCUCCGCCUGGGGAGUACGGCCGCAAGGUUAAA
RNAcentral lists this ribosomal RNA (331 nucleotides) under uncultured bacterium. Its description in RNAcentral is "bacterial SSU rRNA". It matches the Rfam family "Bacterial small subunit ribosomal RNA", at positions 568 to 898 of the family's 1533-position model. The record is from RNAcentral.